GACGAACGCUGGCGGCGUGCCUAAUACAUGCAAGUAGAACGCACAGUUUAUACCGUAGCUUGCUACACCAUAGACUGUGAGUUGCGAACGGGUGAGUAACGCGUAGGUAACCUGCCUGGUAGCGGGGGAUAACUAUUGGAAACGAUAGCUAAUACCGCAUAAUAUUAAUUAUUGCAUGAUAAUUAAUUGAAAGGUGCAAUUGCACCACUACCAGAUGGACCUGCGUUGUAUUAGCUAGUAGGUGAGGUAACGGCUCACCUAGGCGACGAUACAUAGCCGACCUGAGAGGGUGAUCGGCCACGCUGGGACUGAAACACGGCCCAGACUCCUACGGGAGGCAGCAGUAGGGAAUCUUCGGCAAUGGACGAAAGUCUGACCGAGCAACGCCGCGUGAGUGAAGAAGGUUUUCGGAUCGUAAAGCUCUGUUGUAAGAGAAGAACGGGUGUGAGAGUGGAAAGUUCACACUGUGACGGUAUCUUACCAGAAAGGGACGGCUAACUACGUG
RNAcentral lists this ribosomal RNA (505 nucleotides) under uncultured bacterium. Its description in RNAcentral is "partial 16S ribosomal RNA". It matches the Rfam family "Bacterial small subunit ribosomal RNA", at positions 28 to 507 of the family's 1533-position model. The record is from RNAcentral.